AGAAGAAUCGCUUGAGCCUGGGAGGCGGAUGUUGUGGUGAACUGAGAUUGUGCCACUGCACUCCACCCUGGGGCACAGAG
Molecule: small nuclear RNA, 80 nt
Filed under: Homo sapiens (human)
Lineage: Eukaryota; Metazoa; Chordata; Mammalia; Primates; Hominidae
Description: partial ncRNA
Source: RNAcentral